This 253-nucleotide ribosomal RNA is filed under the name uncultured bacterium. RNAcentral's name for it is "partial 16S ribosomal RNA". It matches the Rfam family "Bacterial small subunit ribosomal RNA", at positions 524 to 775 of the family's 1533-position model. The record is from RNAcentral.
CACGUAGGGCGCAAGCGUUGUCCGGAAUUAUUGGGCGUAAAGAGCUCGUAGGCGGUCUGUCGCGUCGGCUGUGAAAACUCGGGGCUCAACCCCGAGCCUGCAGUCGAUACGGGCAGACUAGAGUGCAGUAGGGGAGACUGGAAUUCCUGGUGUAGCGGUGAAAUGCGCAGAUAUCAGGAGGAACACCGGUGGCGAAGGCGGGUCUCUGGGCAACAACUGACGCUGAGGCAGCGAAAGCGUGGGGAGCAACAGG